This 780-nucleotide ribosomal RNA is filed under the name Pseudomonas sp. CUL-ADBH5A5. Its description in RNAcentral is "bacterial SSU rRNA". It matches the Rfam family "Bacterial small subunit ribosomal RNA", at positions 1 to 778 of the family's 1533-position model. Lineage: Bacteria; Pseudomonadati; Pseudomonadota; Gammaproteobacteria; Pseudomonadales; Pseudomonadaceae. The record is from RNAcentral.
UUAGAGUUUGAUCCUGGCUCAGAUUGAACGCUGGCGGCAGGCCUAACACAUGCAAGUCGAGCGGUAGAGAGAAGCUUGCUUCUCUUGAGAGCGGCGGACGGGUGAGUAAUGCCUAGGAAUCUGCCUGGUAGUGGGGGAUAACGUUCGGAAACGGACGCUAAUACCGCAUACGUCCUACGGGAGAAAGCAGGGGACCUUCGGGCCUUGCGCUAUCAGAUGAGCCUAGGUCGGAUUAGCUAGUUGGUGAGGUAAUGGCUCACCAAGGCGACGAUCCGUAACUGGUCUGAGAGGAUGAUCAGUCACACUGGAACUGAGACACGGUCCAGACUCCUACGGGAGGCAGCAGUGGGGAAUAUUGGACAAUGGGCGAAAGCCUGAUCCAGCCAUGCCGCGUGUGUGAAGAAGGUCUUCGGAUUGUAAAGCACUUUAAGUUGGGAGGAAGGGCAGUUACCUAAUACGUGAUUGUUUUGACGUUACCGACAGAAUAAGCACCGGCUAACUCUGUGCCAGCAGCCGCGGUAAUACAGAGGGUGCAAGCGUUAAUCGGAAUUACUGGGCGUAAAGCGCGCGUAGGUGGUUAGUUAAGUUGGAUGUGAAAUCCCCGGGCUCAACCUGGGAACUGCAUUCAAAACUGACUGACUAGAGUAUGGUAGAGGGUGGUGGAAUUUCCUGUGUAGCGGUGAAAUGCGUAGAUAUAGGAAGGAACACCAGUGGCGAAGGCGACCCACCCUGGACUGAUACCUGACCACCUGAGGUGCGAAAGGCGUGGGAGCAACAGAU